This 460-nucleotide ribosomal RNA is filed under the name uncultured bacterium. Its description in RNAcentral is "partial 16S ribosomal RNA". It matches the Rfam family "Bacterial small subunit ribosomal RNA", at positions 338 to 795 of the family's 1533-position model. The record is from RNAcentral.
CCUACGGGGUGCAGCAGUGAGGAAUAUUGGUCAAUGGACGAGAGUCUGAACCAGCCAAGUAGCGUGAAGGAUGACUGCCCUAUGGGUUGUAAACUUCUUUUAUAUGGGAAUAAAAUGUUCCACGUGUGGGAUUUUGUAUGUACCCUAUGAAUAAGGAUCGGCUAACUCCGUGCCAGCAGCCGCGGUAAUACGGAGGAUCCGAGCGUUAUCCGGAUUUAUUGGGUUUAAAGGGAGCGUAGGUGGAUUGUUAAGUCAGUUGUGAAAGUUUGCGGCUCAACCGUAAAAUUGCAGUUGAAACUGGCAGUCUUGAGUACAGUAGAGGUGAGCGGAAUUCGUGGUGUAGCGGUGAAAUGCUUAGAUAUCACGAAGAACUCCGAUUGCGAAGGCAGUUCACUGGACUGCAACUGACACUGAGGCUCGAAAGUGUGGGUAUCAAACAGGAUUAGAUACCCGGGUAGUC